UACAGAGGUGGCAAGCGUUGUUCGGAAUUACUGGGCGUAAAGGGCGCGUAGGCGGCCUUCUAAGUCGAACGUGAAAGCCCCAGGCUUAACCUGGGAACUGCGUUUGAUACUGGAAGGCUUGGAUUCGGGAGAGGGAUGCGGAAUUCCAGGUGUAGCGGUGAAAUGCGUAGAUAUCUGGAGGAACACCGGUGGCGAAGGCGGCAUCCUGGACCGAGAUCGACGCUGAGGCGCGAAAGCUAGGGGAGCAAACGGG
RNAcentral lists this ribosomal RNA (253 nucleotides) under uncultured bacterium. RNAcentral's name for it is "partial 16S ribosomal RNA". It matches the Rfam family "Bacterial small subunit ribosomal RNA", at positions 524 to 776 of the family's 1533-position model. The record is from RNAcentral.